CGUAGUUGGACUUCUGGGCUUGUGUUGUGGUCCGCCUCACGGUGAGCACUGCGACAUGGGUCCUUCUUCUUGAAGACUGUGCGUGUCCUUAACUGGGUGUGUACAGGAUUUGAGACCUUUACUUUGAAAAAAUUAGAGUGUUCAAAGCAGGCCUUCGCUUGAAUACAUUAGCAUGGAAUAAUGGAAUAGGACUUCUGUUCUAUUUUGUUGGUUUCUAGGACUGAAGUAAUGA
Molecule: ribosomal RNA, 232 nt
Filed under: uncultured eukaryote
Lineage: Eukaryota
Description: partial 18S ribosomal RNA
Rfam family: Eukaryotic small subunit ribosomal RNA
Source: RNAcentral